UACGUAGGGGGCAAGCGUUGUCCGGAAUUAUUGGGCGUAAAGGGCGCGUAGGCGGAUUUUUAAGUCUGGUGUGAAAGAUCAGGGCUCAACCCUGAGAGUGCAUCGGAAACUGGAGAUCUUGAGGACAGGAGAGGAAAGUGGAAUUCCACGUGUAGCGGUGAAAUGCGUAGAUAUGUGGAGGAACACCAGUGGCGAAGGCGACUUUCUGGACUGUAACUGACGCUGAGGCGCGAAAGCGUGGGGAGCAAACAGG
This 253-nucleotide ribosomal RNA is filed under the name uncultured Desulfosporosinus sp. RNAcentral's name for it is "partial 16S ribosomal RNA". It matches the Rfam family "Bacterial small subunit ribosomal RNA", at positions 524 to 776 of the family's 1533-position model. The record is from RNAcentral. Lineage: Bacteria; Bacillati; Bacillota; Clostridia; Eubacteriales; Desulfitobacteriaceae.